This 253-nucleotide ribosomal RNA is filed under the name uncultured bacterium. Its description in RNAcentral is "partial 16S ribosomal RNA". It matches the Rfam family "Bacterial small subunit ribosomal RNA", at positions 524 to 776 of the family's 1533-position model. The record is from RNAcentral.
GACGAAGGAUGCAAGCGUUAUCCGGAUUCAUUGGGUUUAAAGGGAGCGUAGGUGGUCUUCUAAGUCAGUGGUGAAAUCUCUCGGCUUAACUGAGAAAUUGCCAUUGAUACUGGAGGACUUGAGUGUAGUUGCCGUUGGCGGAAUAUGACAUGUAGUGGUGAAAUACAUAGAGAUGUCAUAGAACACCGAUUGCGAAGGCAGCUAACGAAACUAUAACUGACACUGAGGCUCGAAAGUGCGGGGAUCAAACAGG